Molecule: ribosomal RNA, 566 nt
Filed under: Filobasidium magnum
Lineage: Eukaryota; Fungi; Basidiomycota; Tremellomycetes; Filobasidiales; Filobasidiaceae
Description: partial large subunit ribosomal RNA
Rfam family: Eukaryotic large subunit ribosomal RNA
Source: RNAcentral
AAGCGGAGGAAAAGAAACUAACAAGGAUUCCCCUAGUAACGGCGAGUGAAGCGGGAAGAGCUCAAAUUGAAAUCUGGUGGCCUCAGGUCAUCCGAGUUGUAAUCUAUAGAAGUGUUUUCCGUGCUGGCUCAUGUACAAGUCCCUUGGAACAGGGCGUCAUAGAGGGUGAGAAUCCCGUCCUUGACAUGAACUACCAGUGCUCUGUGAUACAUUUUCAACGAGUCGAGUUGUUUGGGAAUGCAGCUCAAAAUGGGUGGUAAAUUCCAUCUAAAGCUAAAUAUUGGCGAGAGACCGAUAGCGAACAAGUACCGUGAGGGAAAGAUGAAAAGCACUUUGGAAAGAGAGUUAAACAGUAUGUGAAAUUGUUGAAAGGGAAACGAUUGAAGUCAGUCGUGCUCUUUGGAUUCAGCCGGUUCUGCCGGUGUACUUCCUUUGAGUGGGGUCAACAUCAGUUUUGAUCGCUGGAUAAAGGCUGGAGGAACGUAGUACCCUCGGGUAAACUUAUAGCCUCCUGUCACAUACAGUGGUUGGGACUGAGGAACGCAGCACGCCUUUAUGGCCGGGAU